RNAcentral lists this unclassified non-coding RNA (329 nucleotides) under soil metagenome. RNAcentral describes it as "partial contains 5.8S ribosomal RNA, internal transcribed spacer 2, and large subunit ribosomal RNA". The stretch from base 1 to 120 matches the Rfam family "5.8S ribosomal RNA", at positions 35 to 154 of the family's 154-position model. The record is from RNAcentral.
GAUGAAGAACGCAGUGAAAUGCGAUAAGUAAUGUGAAUUGCAGAAUUCAGUGAAUCAUCGAAUCUUUGAACGCACAUUGCGCCUCCUGGUACUCCGGGGGGCAUGCCUGUCCGAGCGUCAUUACAACCCUCAAGCUCAGCUUGGUGUUGGGCCCCGCCGCCCCGGCGGGCCCUAAAGUCAGUGGCGGUGCCGUCCGGCUCCGAGCGUAGUAAUUCUUCUCGCUCUGGAGGUCCGGUCGUGUGCUCGCCAGCAACCCCCAAUUUUUUUCAGGUUGACCUCGGAUCAGGUAGGGAUACCCGCUGAACUUAAGCAUAUCAAUAAGCGGAGGA